Molecule: long non-coding RNA, 261 nt
Filed under: Panax ginseng (ginseng)
Lineage: Eukaryota; Viridiplantae; Streptophyta; Magnoliopsida; Apiales; Araliaceae
Description: long non-coding RNA (PGIN_LNC005938)
Source: RNAcentral
UGCCUCUGAGAUUCAAUCAUAAACUACUUUGCCUCGGUUGCAUGUAAACUCCCCCUUCACCCCACCCCCUAAAGUGGUAAAGAAGGGCUCUUUGGGGUAUAAUUUUCUUUCUAUCUCUCAGGACAAACAAAUAGGAAGGGAUGGUUCUUUCAUUGCAUUGAUAGAAGUCUAACUAGAAAAAGAUCUAUCUAUUACUUUGAGAAGAGAAUCUUUGGUUUGAUUGACGAACUACGUGGGAAAAUGAACCUUCUUUCUUUUAUU